UAAGCUUGCUCUCUGGGUGACGAGCGGCGGACAGCUGAAUCACGUUGGGAAUGGACCAAGAAGUUUGGGAUUGAACCGGAUACCGCGCCCCUACUCCGGAUAAUAGUUUGGAGGGGCGGGCCUUGCCCUAUCCCAUCACCUCCGGUCACAUUUGCUUGUUGGUGAGGUAACGGCUCACCAAGGCGACAAUCCAUAACUGCCCAGACAUGAAGAAUACUUACAGGGGAAGUGAGGGUGAUCGGCACUCCCGCGGCAGACACCAGGGCGAAACUUGAAGGGGGGCAAAAGCCUGAUAUAUCCAUGCCUGUGUGUAGUCUGAUGGUCCAACUGUGCGUGCUUUAAGUUGGGAUUAAGGUCAUAAACCGGUGUUGUAGGGGUAUAACAUUUCCGACAGACUGAGGCUGGCUCCUUCUGGGCCAAUCUCCGCGGAAACCCCGACGGAGUAGGCGUCAUCAGAAGUACUGAUCCUAACGUCGCCUACGUUGUUUGGUUUUUUGUGUGAAAUCCCCGGGCUCGUCUGUUCUCUGCUCUCUUUUAAACACCCAAGCCAUGGUAGAGGAGGUGCGUAUAUAAUGUGAAUGAGUGAGAUGAGUAAAGAUGAAAGUGAAAUUCCUGGUUAACGAGCCACCUGCACAGAUAUUGAGAAUGAAGUGCAAUGGCUAAGGAGAAUUUUGAUUAUAUACACUGGUACUCACGCGUUAAAGAUUGAACUAAACCUGGAUGCCUUACCUCGUUUGCACCGCCGGGGGGGCAUGGGGUGGACCGCUUAAAGAGUAAGACAGCAAGGGGGGGACUCAAACCAAUGGAGGGGGGCCCGCGCAAUAUUGUGGAGCAAGUGGAAAAUUCGUAGCAACGCGAAGAACCUUUCCAGACCCUGACAUCCAAGAACUUUCCCUUGAGGGACAGAGCCUUAGGGAACAUUGAAACAGGUGUCGCAUGGGUUUUGUCAAAGUUGGGUUAAAUCCCCCGACUAAGGGAACCCCUUAUCUUACCUUCCUCCUUUGUGUUGGGCACUAUAAAGUGACUCUCUAAGGCAAACACCGGGAAAAAGGGGAGGAAGGUGGAUAUUCAUUCCCCUUUCACGCCCGUUACACAUGGGCUACACACGAGGGUCAAUGGUCGGUACAGAGGGGUGACAAGCAGCGAAUAUCAUAUAAUCCCUCAAAACCGAUUGUAGUCCGGAUCGCAAUCUGCAACUGGAGCGCGAGAAGUCGGAAUUUGUAGUUAUCUCGAAUCAGAAAGUAGCAGUGAAUACGUU
RNAcentral lists this ribosomal RNA (1258 nucleotides) under Pseudomonas sp. SN_51. Its description in RNAcentral is "partial 16S ribosomal RNA". It matches the Rfam family "Bacterial small subunit ribosomal RNA", at positions 71 to 1372 of the family's 1533-position model. Lineage: Bacteria; Pseudomonadati; Pseudomonadota; Gammaproteobacteria; Pseudomonadales; Pseudomonadaceae. The record is from RNAcentral.